AUGGCGUCUAGUGAGGGAAAUUACCACCGUAGAGGUCCUUACUUUGAUGGUACUAAUUUUGCUAGUUGGAAGCAUAAGAUGAAAAUGCAUAUUCUUGGACAUAACCCCGCCGUUUGGGCUAUUGUGUGUAUUGGCUUGCAUGGUGGAUUCUUUGAUGGGAGAGAACCAAAUUGUGAAGCUACCGCGGAAGAGUUGAAGAUGCUGCAAUACAAUGCUCAAGCUUGUGAUAUUCUCUUCAACGGAUUGUGCCCCGAAGAAUUCAACAAAAUCUGCCGUCUUGAGAAUGCAAAGGAAAUUUGGGAUACUUUAAUUGAUAUGCACGAAGGUACCGACUCUGUCAAGGAAUCCAAAUUGGAUGUGCUUCAAAGUCAAUUUGACAAGUUUAAAAUGAAGGAUGGUGAAGGUGUCGCUAAAAUGUACUCUAGGCUUGCUCUCAUUACAAAUGAGAUUGUCGGCUUAGGAAGUAAAGAGAUGACCGAUAGAUUCAUCAUCAAGAAGAUCUUAAUAGCCUUGGAUGGAAAAUAUGAUACCGUGUGCACAUUGACCCAAAUGAUGCCUAACUACAAAGAUCUCAAGCCAACGGAAGUCAUUGGAAGAAUUGUCGCUCAUGAGAUGUCACUCAAGGAUAUGGAAGAGCUCCACAACAAGUCAAGUGGUGCCUACAAAGCCUCAUGUGAUUCCCCCACAUCAUCAAAUGAGAAGCAAACCUUCAAUCAAGAAUUGAGCCUAAUGGUGAAGAACUUCAACAAGUUCUACAAGAAUAGAAGCAAGGAAAGAAGUUCUAAGUCAAGGUCCUACAAUGACAAAAGAUCUUCCAGUCGUGAGCGUAACUACUACAAUUGUGGAAGACCCCGACACUAUUCAAAUGAGUGUACGGCUCCUUACAAAAGAAGAGAAGAUUCUCCCAAAAGAAGAAGUAGGAGAGAAGAAUCACCACCAAGAGAGAGAAGGAGUAGAGAUGAUCGUUAUGAACGAAGAUCCUCUCGGAGAAGCAAGGAUUCAGAGAGGAAGGACAAAUCAUCAAAGAGCUACACAACAUGA
Molecule: ribosomal RNA, 1041 nt
Filed under: Triticum aestivum (bread wheat)
Lineage: Eukaryota; Viridiplantae; Streptophyta; Magnoliopsida; Poales; Poaceae
Description: partial small subunit ribosomal RNA
Source: RNAcentral